This 935-nucleotide ribosomal RNA is filed under the name marine metagenome. RNAcentral's name for it is "bacterial SSU rRNA". It matches the Rfam family "Bacterial small subunit ribosomal RNA", at positions 9 to 910 of the family's 1533-position model. The record is from RNAcentral.
GGAUUUGAUCCUGGUUCAGGACUAACGCUUGCGGUACGCCUAAUGCAUGCAAGUCGAGCGAGAUAUUUUCACUUGAACGAUUACUAACUUGUUAGUUUGAAUUCUCCGAAGAGAUCUAGCGGCGAACGGGAGAGUAACAGGUGGGUACCUGCCCAGAAGAUCGGGAUAGAGGACCGAAGGGUCCAGUAAUACCGGAUAAUAUUUUUCGAAAUCAAAUGGUGGUCGAAUCAUGGCCUCCGCUUUUGGAUGGGCCCGCUUCCUAUCAGCUCGUUGGUGGGGUAAAAGCCUACCAAGGCUACGACGGGUAGUCGGCUUGAGAGAGUGACCGGCCUCAUGGGGACUGAGACACGGCCCUGACUCCUACGGGAGGCAGCAGCAGGGAAUUUUGCGCAAUGGACGAAAGUCUGACGCAGCGAUACCGCGUGUGGGAUGAAGGUGCUACGCAUUGUAAACCACUGUCAGGAGGGAAUAAGGGUAAGUGCAGGAAAUGGCAUUUAUUUGAAGGUACCUCGUAAGGAAGCCCCGGCUAACUACGUGCCAGCAGCCGCGGUAAAACGUAGGGGGCGAGCGUUGUCCGGUAUUACUGGGCUUGAAGCGUUUGUAGGCGGUUCAAAAAGUCCAUAGUGAAAGCUCUCAGCUCAACUGAGAAAUUGCUAUGGAAACUAAUGGACUGGAGGACAGUAGAGGUCUGUGGAACUCAAGGAGUAGCGGUGAAAUGCGUAGAUAUCUUGAAGAACACCAGAGAGGAAGCUGACAGGCUGGGCUGUAUCUGACGCUGAGAAACGAAAGCUAGGGGAUCGAACCGGAUUAGAUACCCGGGUAGUCCUAGCCGUAAACGAUGAUUGCCAAAUGUCGGCUUUUUUGUCGGCGUUGCAGAGAAAUCCAUGAGCAAUCCGCCUGGGGAGUACGGCCGCAAGGCUAAAACUCAAAGGAAU